RNAcentral lists this ribosomal RNA (500 nucleotides) under uncultured bacterium. Its description in RNAcentral is "partial 16S ribosomal RNA". It matches the Rfam family "Bacterial small subunit ribosomal RNA", at positions 30 to 523 of the family's 1533-position model. The record is from RNAcentral.
AUUGAACGCUGGCGGCAGGCCUAACACAUGCAAGUCGAGCGGAUGAGAGGAGCUUGCUCCUCGAUUCAGCGGCGGACGGGUGAGUAAUGCCUAGGAAUCUGCCUAGUAGUGGGGGACAACGUUUCGAAAGGAACGCUAAUACCGCAUACGUCCUACGGGAGAAAGUGGGGGAUCUUCGGACCUCACGCUAUUAGAUGAGCCUAGGUCGGAUUAGCUAGUUGGUGGGGUAAAGGCCUACCAAGGCGACGAUCCGUAACUGGUCUGAGAGGAUGAUCAGUCACACUGGAACUGAGACACGGUCCAGACUCCUACGGGAGGCAGCAGUGGGGAAUAUUAGACAAUGGGCGAAAGCCUGAUCCAGCCAUGCCGCGUGUGUGAAGAAGGCCUUCGGGUCGUAAAGCACUUUAAGUUGGGAGGAAGGGCUCAUAGCGAAUACCUGUGAGUUUUGACGUUACCAACAGAAUAAGCACCGGCUAACUUCGUGCCAGCCGCCGCCGUAA